This 632-nucleotide ribosomal RNA is filed under the name uncultured bacterium. Its description in RNAcentral is "bacterial SSU rRNA". It matches the Rfam family "Bacterial small subunit ribosomal RNA", at positions 793 to 1421 of the family's 1533-position model. The record is from RNAcentral.
GUCCACGCCCUAAACGAUGUACACUAGUUGUUGCUAUGCUAGACAUAGCAGUAAUGCAGUUAACACAUUAAGUGUACCGCCUGGGGAGUACGGUCGCAAGAUUAAAACUCAAAGGAAUAGACGGGGACCCGCACAAGCGGUGGAGCAUGUGGUUUAAUUCGACGAUACGCGAAGAACCUUACCUGGCCUUGACAUUGAAAGAACACUUUAGAGAUAGAGUGGUGCUAGUUUACUAGAGCUUGAAAACAGGUGCUGCACGGCUGUCGUCAGCUCGUGUCGUGAGAUGUUGGGUUAAGUCCCGCAACGAGCGCAACCCUCGUGUCUAGUUGCUAACAGUUCGGCUGAGGACUCUAGACAGACUGCCUGGGCAACCAGGAGGAAGGUGAGGACGACGUCAAGUCAUCAUGGCCCUUACGGCCAGGGCUACACACGUGCUACAAUGGGGUAUACAAAGAGCAGCGAUACCGCGAGGUGGAGCAAAUCUCAUAAAAUAUCUCCCAGUUCGGAUUGUACUCUGCAACUCGAGUGCAUGAAGUUGGAAUCGCUAGUAAUCGUAGAUCAGCAAUGCUACGGUGAAUACGUUCCCGGGUCUUGUACUCACCGCCCGUCACACCAUGGGAGUUGAAUUCAUU